UACGGGGGGAGCAAGCGCUGUUCGGAUUUACUGGGCGUAAAGGGCGCGUAGGCGGCCACUGCAAGGCGGUUGUGAAAUCUCCGGGCUUAACCCGGAAAGGUCAAUCGAUACUGCAGGGCUAGAGUGCAGAAGGGGCAACUGGAAUUCUCGGUGUAGCGGUGAAAUGCGUAGAUAUCGAGAGGAACACCUGCGGCGAAGGCGGGUUGCUGGGCUGACACUGACGCUGAAGCGCGAAAGCUAGGGGAGCGAACGGG
Molecule: ribosomal RNA, 254 nt
Filed under: uncultured bacterium
Lineage: Bacteria
Description: partial 16S ribosomal RNA
Rfam family: Bacterial small subunit ribosomal RNA
Source: RNAcentral